This 256-nucleotide ribosomal RNA is filed under the name uncultured bacterium. RNAcentral's name for it is "partial 16S ribosomal RNA". It matches the Rfam family "Bacterial small subunit ribosomal RNA", at positions 521 to 776 of the family's 1533-position model. The record is from RNAcentral.
UAAAACGUAGGAGGCGAGCGUUAUCCGGAUUUACUGGGUGUAAAGCGCGUGCAGGCGGUUUAGCAAGUCGUGCGUGAAAGCGCCCGGCUCAACCGGGCGAGGUCGUGCGAAACUGCUUAACUUGAGGUAGGUAGAGGCGUGUGGAAUUCCGGGUGUAGUGGUGAAAUGCGUAGAGAUCCGGAGGAACACCAGUGGCGAAGGCGACACGCUGGGCCUGACCUGACGCUCAGACGCGAAAGCAUGGGUAGCGAACGGG